Cotesia glomerata is the source of this 411-nucleotide long non-coding RNA. RefSeq lists it as uncharacterized. The transcript has 2 exons. The record is from RefSeq and is a predicted model, not a curated record. Lineage: Eukaryota; Metazoa; Arthropoda; Insecta; Hymenoptera; Braconidae.
UUAACAUCGAACCAGGCCAACGACUUCAGCAACUGCAACCAAUUGCAAGUUAACUAUCUGACCGAGGAAGAAAAGAAAGUAAUCACCCAAGCACAUAAUGAAUACCGGCAAAAGGUGGCAAAUCGUGAAGAAACUCGUGGUAAUCCUGGACCUCAACCAGCCGGUGAUAUUGCUCCUCUGUAGUGGGACGACAAACUGGCUACAAUAGCUCAGAUUUGGGUCUAUCAGUGUCAAAAUGGUCAUUCUGCUUGUGAUGAUACCACUCGCUUUACUGUCAAUCAGAACAUAGCAUUUUCUUCAAAGAGCAACGAGUAUAAAAAAAGAUGUCCCCGGAAUGUUUAGCCAGUGGACCGACGAGGCCAGUAAUUUCGACAGUACUCGCGUAAAUGACAUGCCCAACCAAUCGAAACC